AACGAACGCUGGCGGCAUGCCUAACACAUGCAAGUCGAACGAGACCUUCGGGUCUAGUGGCGCACGGGUGCGUAACGCGUGGGAACCUGCCCUUAGGUUCGGAAUAACUCCCCGAAAGGGGUGCUAAUACCGGAUAAUGUCUUCGGACCAAAGAUUUAUCGCCUUUGGAUGGGCCUGCGUUGGAUUAGCUAGUUGGUAGGGUAAAAGCCUACCAAGGCGACGAUCCAUAGCUGGUCUGAGAGGAUGAUCAGCCACACUGGGACUGAGACACGGCCCAGACUCCUACGGGAGGCAGCAGUGGGGAAUAUUGGACAAUGGGCGAAAGCCUGAUCCGGCAAUGCCGCGUGAGUGAUGAAGGCCUUAGGGUUGUAAAGCUCUUUUACCCGGGAUGAUAAUGACGGUACCGGGAGAAUAAGCUCCGGCUAACUCCGUG
Molecule: ribosomal RNA, 433 nt
Filed under: uncultured bacterium
Lineage: Bacteria
Description: partial 16S ribosomal RNA
Rfam family: Bacterial small subunit ribosomal RNA
Source: RNAcentral